GGCAACUUGGCGGAGUGGUUAACGCGAUUGACUCGAAUGUCCUAGCGAGUAUAGGCUUCAAUAAAUUUCCUUCGGGAGCGCAUGUUCGAAUCAUGCAGUUGUCG
RNAcentral lists this transfer RNA (104 nucleotides) under Cutaneotrichosporon oleaginosum. RNAcentral describes it as "Trichosporon oleaginosus tRNA". It matches the Rfam family "tRNA". From Rfam's summary of the family: Transfer RNA (tRNA) molecules are approximately 80 nucleotides in length. The record is from Rfam by way of RNAcentral. Lineage: Eukaryota; Fungi; Basidiomycota; Tremellomycetes; Trichosporonales; Trichosporonaceae.